GACGAACGCUGGCGGCGUGCUUAACACAUGCAAGUCGAACGGAAAGGCCCUGCUUUUGUGGGGUGCUCGAGUGGCGAACGGGUGAGUAGCACGUGAGUAACCUGCCCUUGACUUUGUGAUAACUUCAGGAAACUGGGGCUAAUACCGGAUAGGAGCUCCUGCUGCAUGGUGGGGGUUGGAAAGCUUCGGCGGUUGGGGAUGGACUCGCGGCUUAUCAGCUUGUUGGUGGGGUAGUGGCUUACCAAGGCUUUGACGGGUAGCCGGCCUGAGAGGGUGACCGGCCACAUUGGGACUGAGAUACGGCCCAGACUCCUACGGGAGGCAGCAGUGGGGAAUAUUGCACAAUGGGCGGAAGCCUGAUGCAGCAACGCCGCGUGCGGGAUGACGGCCUUCGGGUUGUAAACCGCUUUCGCCUGUGACGAAGCGUGAGUGACGGUAAUGGGUAAAGAAGCACCGGCUAACUACGUG
RNAcentral lists this ribosomal RNA (468 nucleotides) under uncultured bacterium. RNAcentral's name for it is "partial 16S ribosomal RNA". It matches the Rfam family "Bacterial small subunit ribosomal RNA", at positions 28 to 507 of the family's 1533-position model. The record is from RNAcentral.